AAUGUAUGAAGCCAUUGAUUUUUUUUCAACGUUUGACCAUUUGUCUUAUUCAAAAAUUUUAUGUAAUUAUCAUUUAUUUUAUUGUGACUUGAUUCGUCAUCAAAUGUUUUUUAAGUAUGACAUAAAUAUUUUUAUAUUUGCAUAAAAUUUUUGAAUAAAACGAAUGGUCAAACGUUGAUUGAAAAGUCAACGAUGUCAUACAU
This is a microRNA precursor of Oryza sativa Japonica Group (Japanese rice), 203 nucleotides long. It matches the Rfam family "MIR812 microRNA precursor family". The record is from Rfam. Lineage: Eukaryota; Viridiplantae; Streptophyta; Magnoliopsida; Poales; Poaceae.